AGAAAUGUCCAGUUUUGAGUGAUUGUAGUAUGGAUGGAUUUUCUGGUUUUGUUAAUUAUUUCAGGUUUUUAACAAAUGUUCAUGAAAGAACCUAUUUGAUUUACUGCAGAGAAAAAUACUUUUUAGUCUGGAUUUCUGCCCUACUUAGAUUUUUUUUUUAAAGUAUAAGCAUGGAUUGCCAAUUCCACUUGAUGUAAACAAAACUUUUUAUACAUAAUAUAUAAUAACUUAUUGUAUCAGUCCAGGUUCAGAAACUUGUGGUAGGCCAGUUUCAGAUAGUUUCAUUUCACCUGUAAACUGUAUCACUUUUACUGAUAUUGUAAUUUUCAAAUGUAUAAUAUGUUUACAGAUGUGCCCUGCAUUUAGUAGCUUUGUUCCUAUUUUUCUUUUUUUUUUUUUUUUUUUUUUUUCCUUUUUGGUUGAGUCUCCUGCCUGCCAAAAGCUAGGAUGCUUCAGGCCCCUGUACAUCAGUGAGGCAUCCUUGAGCUUUAAAGCACUGAGCAAACUGGAAAAUGCAACACGCCACAUACUGAACUGAAAAGUCUGUGUUUUGUGUUCCUUUUUUUUUUUUAAUUUUUAAUAAAAAUUUUCAAAAAGUUAAAAAAAUUUUGAUUAAAGAAAAACGAGGCUCCAGUUUGUUUUAUAGGUUUUAAAGUUCUGCCGUGUGUUUAAUUGCCUUGUGUGACCACUUGUCGCCUUAGGGCUGAAUCCUUACCCCACUUUUUUUAAGUGUCCGUUUUGCUUGCCUGGAAUUUUAAAGUUGGUCUGUUGCACAAAUCACAAAAACAAAAGAACAAAAAAAUACUUCCUAGGUUUAUGGCAUACAAGGUUGAAUGAACAUACUUAAAAUGAAAAAAAAAAUCCAGUUUCCUGAAUUGGGAUUUUAACUUAGAAGUAAUACUUAGUACCUUUAAAGGCCUUCACUUUCAUAAUUCUUUUCCAUAACUUUCAGGCUGCGGUGCAGAGAAGCUAAAGAGAAUGUACCCUUUCUCUGUCCAAGGGUUGAGAAUCUCACUUCCUCUAAAUGAGACAAUGCAACAUUUCACUUUGAUUUCUCCACU
RNAcentral lists this long non-coding RNA (1061 nucleotides) under Rattus norvegicus (Norway rat). RNAcentral describes it as "long non-coding RNA NONRATT004623". The record is from RNAcentral. Lineage: Eukaryota; Metazoa; Chordata; Mammalia; Rodentia; Muridae.